CUACGGGCGGCUGCAGUGGGGAAUAUUGCACAAUGGGCGCAAGCCUGAUGCAGCCAUGCCGCGUGUAUGAAGAAGGCCUUCGGGUUGUAAAGUACUUUCAGCGGGGAGGAAGGGAGUAAAGUUAAUACCUUUGCUCAUUGACGUUACCCGCAGAAGAAGCACCGGCUAACUCCGUGGCCAGCAGCCGCGGUAAUACGGAGGGUGCAAGCGUUAGUCGGAAUUACUGGGCGUAAAGCGCACGCAGGCGGUUUGUUAAGUCAGAUGUGAAAUCCCCGGGCUCAACCUGGGAACUGCAUCUGAUACUGGCAAGCUUGAGUCUCGUAGAGGGGGGUAGAAUUCCAGGUGUAGCGGUGAAAUGCGUAGAGAUCUGGAGGAAUACCGGUGGCGAGGGCGGCCCCCUGGACGAAGACUGACGCUCAGGUGCGAAAGCGUGGGGAGCAAACAGGAUUAGAUACCCCUGUAGUC
Molecule: ribosomal RNA, 465 nt
Filed under: uncultured bacterium
Lineage: Bacteria
Description: partial 16S ribosomal RNA
Rfam family: Bacterial small subunit ribosomal RNA
Source: RNAcentral